AGGGCGGUCCUGCACAGCCAAGCCGCUGCUCCCGCCACGAGUUACCGGCGGGUCGGGUGGGCCCUGGGCGGGGUGCUAACCCUUUCAGUGCUUCAGUCCUCCCUCAGUAGGGAAAGGAACAAGAUGCAAGCAUGUCGAAGAACAGUAGGAAGACAUCAAGGUCCGUGAAGAAGUCCCAGAUGGAAGGGAAGAGGAGAUGCCUUGUUUUCUGCUGAAAUCCUCUUGAUGUUUCCACCAUCCCUGUGCAUUGGAGUCCCUUGCUAAAUGGAUGUGGGCGCCCAAGCUUGUCUCCAGUUAAGAAGGCCUACUUCUUCCAUAUAUCCAGGUCAGACAUAAACACUGUAGCUGAAACGCUGUCAUGAUUUUAUGACUGAGAAAAGAGAUUUGUUGGCAUGUGGACCAAGGAGGAAAGAACCAGUUCUCAUUUUUUAGGGGUGUAAAAAGUGCAAUGGAGAGAGAGAACUUUCUUUCCCUUUUGGGUACAGUGUGAUCUAGUGAGCCUCUUGUCCUCCUCUACUGCACAAGGUGUGAGUAGAGCCUGCAGGAAGGAUGACAAAGCUGUUGGGUGGCACUGUCACUUCUUGGCAAUUCUGUGUUCCCAAAGCAUGGGCGUGGCCCAGCUCUCCUGGCAUGGCAGUGCUGUGAAGGUCAGCGCAUGUUGCAUUGGGAAGAGGCAUCCUCC
Long non-coding RNA from Zonotrichia albicollis (white-throated sparrow), 682 nucleotides. RefSeq lists it as uncharacterized. The record is from RefSeq and is a predicted model, not a curated record. Lineage: Eukaryota; Metazoa; Chordata; Aves; Passeriformes; Passerellidae.